GCAAACUUGGUCAUUUAGAGGAAGUAAAAGUCGUAACAAGGUUUCCGUAGGUGAACCUGCGGAAGGAUCAUUAUUGAUUGUGAAUCGUUGCCCUCUGUGCUGGCUGGCUCCUCCGGCAAGUGCACGUUGGUGACUUUCAUCCAAACACUUGUGAACCUUUGGCCUCUUGCUGGCUUUGGCCAGUGGAGGAUUUUACACACCCACUCGAAUGUACUGAGAAAUAUUCUUGUGCGCAAGCACUAUUGUACAACUUUCAACAACGGAUCUCUUGGCUCUCGCAUCGAUGAAGAACGCAGC
Molecule: unclassified non-coding RNA, 297 nt
Filed under: uncultured fungus
Lineage: Eukaryota; Fungi
Description: partial contains small subunit ribosomal RNA, internal transcribed spacer 1, and 5.8S ribosomal RNA
Rfam family: Eukaryotic small subunit ribosomal RNA (bases 1-73)
Source: RNAcentral